Papaver somniferum (opium poppy) is the source of this 1931-nucleotide long non-coding RNA. RefSeq lists it as uncharacterized. NCBI's taxonomy places the organism in Eukaryota, Viridiplantae, Streptophyta, Magnoliopsida, Ranunculales, Papaveraceae. The record is from RefSeq and is a predicted model, not a curated record. The transcript has 3 exons.
AUCACUCCGAUAUUGGUAGAUUUGGAGAACUGCAAGGGAAAAUAAGAAUCGUCUGUUUUGUCUUCACAAAAAUAACGAUUAAUUCUUCCAUCACCAAAACCAGAGAAACACAAACCAGAUCUCCAUCAGCUUCAUCUUCCCCCACACAAACCACCACCGACAACUCCAUCGCCACGAAAAACACCACCACCAUUUCCUUCUUCUCUUCUUCUUCUUCAUCUUCUUCUUCUUCCAAUUGUUGUUGUUCGCCCGAUUUUUCCCCAUCAAUUUUGUGCCCUAAUCUAAUCAUAACAGCAACUCUUCUCAACUCUCCCUGGGAUCUCUUCUUUCUUCAUCUUCAUCUUCAUCUUCAUAGAUAGAUUUCCCACUAUAUUUCAAUUAUUCUAUACUCAAUUUCGAAUUUAGAGUACAGGUUUUUGAUUUGAUCGAUUCAAUCAACAUAUAACCUGUAACCCUAUAUUGGAAAUUGGGUUAAUUGAUUCAUUUGACUUGAUUGAAUUUCUUUUGAGUGAGUUGGGUUGACUGAUUUACAGAGAAAUCAACCCCUUCGUUGAUGUAAUUGAUUGAAUUACUUUUUUGAGUUGUGAGGAAAUUAUGGUUUGUGCAAACUUUAGAUUGAUCGAAGAACAAUUUGAGGUAAGAUUAAUGGCGCAUAUGAUAUGAAAAAUUUGAGAUGCAAGAUUCAUUUCCAGGUAAGAUUUCCAGUUUCCAACCACGUAGAAGUCCAAGAUUUAUUGAAAGAGAUGCUCACUUACAGCGGCGCCAUGUUACAUAUGAAGUAGGUUUUAUCGAUGACCGAAGUCGAAAAACAAACGCUUCUUGAGAAAUGUCGUAAUGCCUUUCGCUAUAGGUUUUAUCUUUUCUUAAUUAGUAGUAGGUUUUACCUUUUCCUGAUGAGUGAAUCUUUGGAUAUUUUGAUGUAAUGUUAGGCUUUUGAACAACGGGUUAUGUAAAGAAAUUGAUCAUGAUGGGUUGAAGCUAAAUGUGUAAGAACUUCUAGGAAUUAAUUUUGUGUUCGUGUUUUGGUUUGUCUCAAAUAGGUAGUAAAGAACAUAGAUUCGCCAGUUGAUUUUCCUUGUACAGACAAUGGUUUUCACCGGUUUGAAGAGUCUGUAUCCAACUUAUUCUAGCUUAAUACCAGGUAAACAAAAGAUUUUGGCUGUAGUUAGGUUAGAUUGGCUGUCUGAAAUUCAAUGUAUUGAUGAACGCUACAUUUUGAUAUGGAUUUUAAUUCUAAAACAGAUGGUUUUGGUACUACAUUUUGAUAUGGAUUUCAAUGUAUCAUCAGAUUUGUUUUUUUAUGGAAGUCCAUGGUUUGUGACGCAUAUAUAUGAUCCUACUAUUGCUGCACUUACUAAGUACUGCUAAAAGGUUUUCCCUCUUAGCAGCACCCUGGAAUAAGUCUAGAUCUACUUGAUUUAUGCAGCAGCUGGGUUAGAAAAUUUUGUUUUUUUGUUUUCUUCUUGCUCUAUUAUUUUUCCAGGCUACUUGAGUAAUCUAACUGAUGACUUUUUCUGUGUUUGCAGGUGAACCAUUUUCCAGCGGGAUAUGAGCAAGAAUAAGUUGUUGGCAUGAGUAUGAACACGAAGAAGAGCUGAAAAUAAUUCACUGUAAAUGUGCUUAUGCGUGAUAACAAAUAAGAGACUUUACUUGCUUUCCGGAGGAACAUCAAUGGACAUGAGACCUCAAAUUUGGUCUAUCCGGAAGUCCUCUUAUAGGUACAACAGUAUUGGAGAAACGUAUGAACUGUUGCCGAGAAUCCGAAAUUGCAAGCAAGAGAAUUCGGCCAAAUUCAAGUUUGGUUCAAAUCUAUAACACCAAACAGAUUGGAUCUAUACACAUUCUAUUAUAUAUUGCCAUGUUAUUAUGAACAACACUGUUUACUUCAUAAUUUUAGUAUUAAAUGUAAUUGCCGUAAUUGCUGAUACCAA